Molecule: ribosomal RNA, 505 nt
Filed under: uncultured bacterium
Lineage: Bacteria
Description: partial 16S ribosomal RNA
Rfam family: Bacterial small subunit ribosomal RNA
Source: RNAcentral
GACGAACGCUGGCGGCGUGCCUAAUACAUGCAAGUAGAACGCACAGUUUAUACCUUUGCUUGCUACACCAUAGACUGUGAGUUGCGAACGGGGGAGUUACGCGUAGGUAACCUGCCUGGUAGCUGGGGAUAACUAUUGGAAACGCUAGCUAAUACCUCAUAAUAUUAAUUAUUGCUUGGUAAUUAUUUGAAGGGUGCAAUUGCACCACUACCAAUUGGACUUGCGUUGUAUUAGCUAGUAGGUGAGGUAAAGGCUCACCUAGGCGACGAAACAUAGCCGACCUGCGAGGGUGAUCAGCCAGACUGGGACUGAGACACGGCCCAGACUGCUACGGGAGGCAGCAGUAGGGAAUCUUCGGCAAUGGACGAAAGUCUGACCGAGCAACGCGGCGUGAGUGAAGAAGGAUUUCGGAUCGUAAAGCUCUGUUGUAGGGGAAGAACGGGCGUGAGAGUGGAAAGUUCACACUGUGACGGUAACUGACCAGAAAGGGACGGCUAACUACGUG